RNAcentral lists this ribosomal RNA (448 nucleotides) under uncultured marine group I thaumarchaeote. Its description in RNAcentral is "bacterial SSU rRNA". It matches the Rfam family "Archaeal small subunit ribosomal RNA", at positions 475 to 923 of the family's 1478-position model. Lineage: Archaea; Thermoproteati; Nitrososphaerota. The record is from RNAcentral.
ACCAGCACCUCAAGUGGUCAGGAGGAUUAUUGGGCCUAAAGCAUCCGUAGCCGGCUCUGUAAGUUUUCGGUUAAAUUCAUGUGCUCAACGCAUGGGCUGUCGAAAAUACUGCAUAGCUAGGGAGUGGGAGAGGUAGACGGUACUCGGUAGGAAGGGGUAAAAUCCUUUGAUCUAUCGAUGACCACCUGUGGCGAAGGCGGUCUACCAGAACACGUUCGACGGUGAGGGAUGAAAGCUGGGGGAGCAAACCGGAUUAGAUACCCGGGUAGUCCCAGCUGUAAACGAUGCAGACUCGAUGAUGCAUUGGCAUAUAGCCAGUGCAGUGUCGCAGGGAAGCCGUUAAGUCUGCCGCCUGGGAAGUACGUACGCAAGUAUGAAACUUAAAGGAAUUGGCGGGGGAGCACCACAAGGGGUGAAGCCUGCGGUUCAAUUGGACUCAACGCCGGAA